RNAcentral lists this ribosomal RNA (1491 nucleotides) under uncultured Bordetella sp. Its description in RNAcentral is "partial 16S-23S ribosomal RNA intergenic spacer". It matches the Rfam family "Bacterial small subunit ribosomal RNA". The record is from RNAcentral. Lineage: Bacteria; Pseudomonadati; Pseudomonadota; Betaproteobacteria; Burkholderiales; Alcaligenaceae.
AGUUCGAUUCUGGCUCAGAUUGAACGCUGGCGGAUGCUUUACACAUGCAAGUCGAACGGCAGCACGGACUUCGGUCUGGUGGCGAGUGGCGAACGGGUGAGUAAUGUAUCGGAACGUGUGCCUAGUAGCGGGGGAUAACUACGCGAAAGCGUAGCUAAUACCGCAUACGCCCUUCGGGGGAAAGUGGGGGGACCUUCGGGCCUCGCAAUUAUUAGAGCGGCCGAUAUCGGAUUAGCUUGCUGGUGGGGCAACGCUCACCAAGGCGACGAUCCGUAGCUGGUUUGAGAGGACGACCAGCCACACUGACUGAGACACGGCCCAGACUCCUACGGAGGCGUGGCAGUGGGGAAUUUUGGACAAUGGGGGAAACCUGAUCCGUGCCAUCCUGCUGCGUGCGAUGAAGGCCUUCGGGUUGUAAAGCACUUUGGCAGGAAGAAACGGCACGGGAUAAUACCCCGUGCAACUGAUUUUACCUGUAAUAAGCACCUGCCAAUCAUUGCGCCAGCAGCCGCGGUAAUACGUAGGGUGCAAGCGUUAAUCGGAAUUACUGGGCGCAAGCGUGCGCAGGCGGUUCGGAAAGAAAGAUGAAAUCCCAGAGCUUAACUUUGGAACCGCAUUUUUAACUACCGAGCUAGAGUGUGUCAGAGGGAGGUGGAAUUCCGCGUGUAGCAGUGAAAUGCGUAGAUAUGCGGAGGAACAUGGCGCGAAGGCAGCCUGGGAUAACACUGACGCUCGAUAACGAAAAAGCGUGGGGAGCAAACAGGAUUAGAUGCACCUCUGGUAGUCCACGCCCUAAACGAUGUCAACUAGCUGUUGGGGCCUUCGGCCUUGGUAGCGCAGCUAACGCGUGAAGUUGACCGCCUGGGGAGUACGGUCGUGAAGAUUAAACUCGUUAGAAUUGACGGGGACCCGGAAAUACGGUGGAUGAUGUGGAUUAAUUCGAUGCAACGCGAAAACCUUACCUACCCUUGACAUGUCUGGAAUCCCGAAGAGAUUUGGGAGUGCCUGCAAGAGAACCGGAACACAGGUGCUGCAUGGCUGUCGUCAGCUCGUGUCGCAGAUGUUGGGUUAAGUCCUGCGCAACGAGCGCAACCCUUGUCAUUAGUUGCUACGAAAGGGCACUCUAAUGAGACUGCCGGUGACAAACCGGAGGAAGGUGGGGAUGACGUCAAGUCCUCAUGGCCCUUAUGGGUAGGGCUUCACACGUCAUACAAUGGUCGGGACAGUGGCCGCUAACCUGCGAGGGGGAGCCAAUCCAGAAACCCGAUCGUAAACUGGAUCGCAGUCUGCAACUCGACUGCGUGAAGUCGGAAUCGCUAGCAAUCGCGGAUCAGCAUCGCGGUGAAUACGUUCCGGUCUUGUACACACCGCCCGUCACACCAUGGGAGUGGGUUUUGGUAGGCGUAGUUAGCCUGGGAUCAAGUGGAGGGCGAUUAAUGAUUCAAGACUGGGGUGAAGUCGUAACAAGGUGUCCCAGCCACGCCUGAUGUC